AUUGAACGCUGGCGGAAUGCUUUACACAUGCAAGUCGAACGGCAGCACGGGGCAACCUGGUGGCGAGUGGCGAACGGGUGAGUAAUACAUCGGAACGUGCCCAAUCGUGGGGGGAUAACGUAGCGAAAGUUACGCUAAUACCGCAUACGAUCUACGGAUGAAAGCGGGGGAUCGCAAGACCUCGCGCGAAUGGAGCGGCCGAUGUCAGAUUAGGUAGUUGGUGGGGUAAAGGCUCACCAAGCAACGAUCUGUAGCUGGUCUGAGAGGACGACCAGCCACACUGGAACUGAGACACGGUCCAGACUCCUACGGGAGGCAGCAGUGGGGAAUUUUGGGACAAUGGCGCAAGCCUGAUCCAGCAUUCCGCGUGCAGGAUGAAGGCCUUC
This 386-nucleotide ribosomal RNA is filed under the name uncultured bacterium. RNAcentral's name for it is "bacterial SSU rRNA". It matches the Rfam family "Bacterial small subunit ribosomal RNA", at positions 30 to 419 of the family's 1533-position model. The record is from RNAcentral.